RNAcentral lists this unclassified non-coding RNA (2223 nucleotides) under Neodiprion pinetum (white pine sawfly). RNAcentral describes it as "general transcription factor IIH subunit 4, transcript variant X3". The record is from RNAcentral. Lineage: Eukaryota; Metazoa; Arthropoda; Insecta; Hymenoptera; Diprionidae.
GACAUAGUUACCUACCAUGGACCUUAAGAAUUAGUUCCAAAAAUGUUGGGUACUCCAGCAUGUAGGAAAAUUAGCCCUAAGAAUUUUGAUCAGUGCGACUGUCGUUUGUGCCGUUUGGUUGGUAAUAGGACGUUCUCUGUUUUUAUCUAAUCCAGGAGCUAGAAGAAGACAAAACAUUUCUGUCGGUAUGUCUGUGUAUGGAUAAGUACUGAACUGUAACUGUGAGGCUGCUAUCUGUGAUUGAAUAUGAGUAACCUAUGUCAGGAAUUCACCCACUGAUCCCUAUUCGGUGAAUUUAUGCCAACGGCUGACCGAGACGUCGAACGGAGUAUAAAAUAUAAAAAUAUAGGUUAUGCUGUUUCCACGGCCGUUUGAACGAUAAAAGGUUGUACCCAUUCAGUAGCCCAGCGUGGCGGUUGUGUUUAUAAAGUUGCAGAAAAGUAACCAAAACAGAGACGAGAUGUGUGUGUUGACAGCCAAGAAAAGAUCUGGAGUCUAUUCAUAAGCUUGUUAAUAAUAGUGGCAAAGACUUGAUGCGAACAUGUCAAACACGAUAAGUGGUAAGAAUUUAUUGCGUCCAACUGGGCUGCAGUGCAAAGAUCUUCAUGAAUAUCUAAAGACUCGGCCGCCAGAAACGUUGAAUAAACUGUAUCACAACCCUCCGAUUUGUCUGGCCGUUUUUCGGGAAUUGCCUGAAAUAGCCAGGCAUUAUGUUAUGCGGUUGCUGUUCGUUGAACAGCCCGUACCUCAGGCAGUCAUAGCUUCAUGGUGUUCAAAGUUACAUACCGAUGAGCAUCAGAAAGUCGUCAAAAUUCUCAAUGAGCUGAAUAUCUGGAAGGAAGCAUCAAUCCCCGGUGGUCUACCUGGGUGGAUUUUGAAUUCAACGUUGAAGAAGAAUUUGAAAAUAGUUUUACUUGGUGGCGGUAAACCUUGGACGAUGUCAAAUCAGUUAGAAACCGAUAAUAAACCACGAGACGUCGCCUUCCUAGAUACGUAUGCCUUGGAAAGGUGGGAGUGUGUUCUCCAUUACAUGGUCGGAUCUCAGCAGCAAGAAGGAAUAUCGGCUGAUGCGGUAAGAAUACUGCUACAUGCUGGACUGAUGAAACGUGAUGAGGAAGACGGCAGCCCAGUCAUUACACAAGCAGGAUUUCAGUUUCUACUGCUAGAUACAGCGUCCCAGGUCUGGUACUUCAUUCUUCAAUACUUGGACACUAUAGAAGCCAGGGGUCUGGAUCUGGUCGUUUGUCUAACCUUCUUGUUUCAAUUGAAUUUCUCGACAUUGGGAAAAGAUUACAGUACUGAAGGUAUGUCAGAGGGACUAUUGACAUUUUUGCAGCACCUCAGAGAAUUUGGUCUGGUCUAUCAAAGAAAACGUAAGGCUGGAAGAUUUUACCCUACCAGGCUAGCACUAAACAUUGCCACAGGUCAAAAUAAGCCUCUGUCAAGUGACUUAGAGAAGGAAGGAUAUAUAGUCGUGGAAACCAAUUACAGAGUUUACGCUUAUACCAAUUCUAAUUUGCAAGUCGCUCUGCUUGGUCUCUUUUGUGAAAUGCUUUACAGGUUCCCAAAUUUGGUUGUAUCCAUUUUAACAAGAGAUUCAGUGAGGCAAGCUCUGAAGAGCGGCAUUACAGCUGAACAAAUCGUUGGAUACCUACAUCAGCAUGCCCAUCCUAAGAUGAUUGCCUUAGGACCACCAACUUUGCCCCCUACCAUAGUGGAUCAAAUCAAGUUGUGGGAAAACGAAAGAAAUAGAUUUAUAUUUAGCGAGGGCGUUCUGUAUAGUCAGUUUCUUUCACAGACUGACUUUGAAGUACUCAGAGAUCACGCGCUCACCACCCAAGUUCUAAUCUGGCAAAGCGAAAGAAAGCGGACUAUGGUUGUCACAAAAGCGGGUCAUGAUGACGUCAAAAAGUUUUGGAAGCGUUAUUCGAAAGGAAGCAGUUGAUUUCAAUUUUUGCUUUGCUUUGGGCAUUGCUACCUGCUGGCGAAUUCUUCAUCUUUCAACUACAGUAAAGUGGUUGCAAAAGUCUGCCACCGAUCACUCUGGAAUAAAGCGGCGUUGGAGUAACAAUAAUGCUCUUGAUGAUAACUAUAAUUAUGCCAGUCCUGAUAAGAAGUUACAAAGACCUGGAAGCUAGUGGGAUUACAGUGUCAAUGAUAUAAAUAAUUUCUAUGAUAAAGGUUACGAAAAUAAGGAAAUAAAUUUGAUUAAAUUUAUCAAUA